Molecule: non-coding RNA, 105 nt
Organism: Pseudocohnilembus persalinus
Lineage: Eukaryota; Ciliophora; Oligohymenophorea; Philasterida; Pseudocohnilembidae
Source: Rfam
AUCCUCUUCGGAGGUCAUCUGUUAAAAUUGAAACGAUACAGAGAAGAUUAGCAUUUUCCCUGUUCAAGGAUGAAACGCAUUAAGCGAGAAGGAAAACCCAUUUUU